UGGCAGGAAGGUGGCACGAUAACUUUUUU
Molecule: non-coding RNA, 29 nt
Filed under: Mus musculus (house mouse)
Lineage: Eukaryota; Metazoa; Chordata; Mammalia; Rodentia; Muridae
Source: RNAcentral